Betta splendens (Siamese fighting fish) is the source of this 5707-nucleotide long non-coding RNA. RefSeq lists it as uncharacterized. NCBI's taxonomy places the organism in Eukaryota, Metazoa, Chordata, Actinopteri, Anabantiformes, Osphronemidae. The transcript has 9 exons. The record is from RefSeq and is a predicted model, not a curated record.
GUCACAUACUGGGUGUAUGUAGGCAGAGCAGCUGAAGGAGGUGCAUGGUUAAAGUCCGUCUAAAGAGAUCAGGAAGAGGGCCUGUGGGUGCUGUGUUUGCAGCCUACUGGUGACUGUGAGCAGGGUCUCAGAAGCCGUGUCAGCGUUAGCGGAGGGUGGGACGUACACAGCAAUUAAUAUAACGUGUGUGAACUCCCGUGGCAGGUAGAAUGGCCUCAUGCCUACCGCUAACAGCUCAAAGUCUCUGUUACACAGCUUAAUUCUGACAGUGCAAUGUCGUGGCAUACACCACCUGGUGUUCACAAACACAGCCAGACCCCCUCCCUUCCUCUUCUUACCGCUGUUCUCCGUUCUGUCCGCACGUAGCAGAUGAAAAUUGUCCAGUGCGACAGUCGAGUCCGGGAUGAGUGACGUCAGCCAGGUCUCCGUGAACAGCAGGACGCUGCUCGUUCUGUACUCCGGCUGGUACCGUUUCAACGCCGCGAGCUCGUCGAUCUUGUUGGGCAGAGAUCUCACGUUCCCCAUGAUGACGGAGGGGACAGCGGGCCUGAAGCGUCUCGUUUUCUCCCGUUGUACUAGAGACUAGAGACUUGAUGUCGUGUCCGUGUUUUCUUUUGCAUGUUUUUAACAUCGCAAUGUCCAACGCACCUUGAAUACCGCAGCGGCAGAAGGAUUCGGCCUCAUUGAACAGGUUGAAUCCGCUCCUGAACCGUAGCGUCCAACUCGCAGACAGCCCGGUGAAGUAGCUUGGUCUAUUGGCCAGUCUCUGCACCACCGGAGUCUUUUACUAGAUGGUAACAUUUUGAACUUGCGUUUCUUAUUUUCGCUCUAAACACGAUAAUUACUGUAUGUCUGGCAGCACUGAUACAUGCUGGCAAGCAGAGGCAGAGAAGCAUCUCCUACAACUGCAGGACUUCCUUUGGUUAAACAAAUUCUGUCACUGCUCUUUACGUUUGUUUAGGUUUGUUCCAUGUACUCUAAUUUAAACUAUUGGUUGAUUACUAUUUUUGUUUCAGGUGCCCCAACCAACCUUCUUAUCAAGCCUCUCUUCCACCGCUACCACCUCUUAGCGAGCCUCUGGUGGGACGGGUUCAUCCUCUGUGCUGAGACUUAAUUAUGAUAUGCCACAGCAACGUCAGCCCCAAGUAUUGGCUGAGGUGGAGUCAACUUUAGCAGCAGUGAUGCAGCAUCAUAAUGCACAAUCUAACCUAAGCCAUGCAGAUGUUGGAUUAUUUGUUGCACAUGCAGCCCAGCUCCAGUCAUUCUGUGAAGAUGUCAUGUUCAUUAACUCUGAUCACUGAAAUCACACUUCUGCUGUGGACCCGUUUUUGUGGGGAGUACCAAGAUCAUAAGGCGCAUAUAAACCAACCUCUUGUUAAGCCAACACCUCCGUCUCCUGCAGAGGCGCUCCGCAAUGGGGAAAUCUACAGGUCAGCAGGAAAGCAAAAGGUCAGUCCCAGCCAUCAUGUUGUGAAGACUUACUUUGGAACAUUCAAGAUGCUGCGUGUGUCCUUUCUCUUCUUCCAGAGACUGCGCCCUACAGAACCUUGCAGCGCAGAUGAAGGCACUCCCUAAAGUUGUGGGCUGUGAGCUGCCACCUACUCGGGAUUUGCUGGUGAUAGACGGACAUGGAUCUACUCUGCAGCUUGCAUUAUUACACGCCAAGUGUGUGUUUCACUGUUUGAUAAUGGAAGGGAGCAAACUCAAUACUUGGUGGAGAAAACGUUGGCUGCAAUACAUCUGAAUCUGAACUGUGAUAAAGAAAAAUAACGUGACAGCGGAUGAAGUUUGUUCCCAAGAACGGGAACAAAAAAACAGUUGUGAUUCUGAUGUUGGUAAUAACAUGAGAUGUAUUCAUUAGGUAAUACUACAGAAAAUGUCUUAUUACCAAUAUGUUUCUUCAUAGUGUGAAUUUGAGGUUUGACUUGGAGUUUUGACGUGCUGCAUUUUUCACGCAGUCACUUUGGUUUUGACAUUAAUUUUGUCGAUUUGAUUCUGCUUCAAACAAAAGCUCUAAGAUUUGACCAAGAAUGGGUUUAGAUUUAUUGAAGACAUUUACACAGACACGGUCUACUGAAGAAGUGGCAUAACUGUACUGUAGCUAAAUGUACAAUAGUACCAGUAGUUCCACUCCUCUAUUGUAGCUUUGACUUGUCUGUAGUUACAUUUCAAGUUUUUAUACAACAUUUGUUCUUCUUUAAAUGUUCUUUGUUUUUCUGGAAGUCCUGAUGAGAUUUGUACAAGCAGACUUGAAGCAACAGCACAACGUCUUAAUUUACGGAAGCCAACUGUGCGGCUCUUAGCCUCCUCCUACUACUUUGUUAUUGAGUGUGCUCGCUUUGUCCGUCGCCUCCUGGUUUAAUUCCAUUAGCCUGCAAAGAAAGAAAUCUGUGGGGACCCCUCACAUCCUAAGUCCCAUGUUCCAGUGGCUCCCAUCAGGACACAGACUCCCUGAUGCAGGACCCAAAUAGGAGAAACACUGUAAUCCCAGCAGUAGUUAUCCAUCUGAAUGCUGUCCUGUACAAUGACGCUUUUAAUUGAUCUUAUUAGUAAUAUUAAUUUUCCUGGAUGCUUUUCCUUAAUUGGCCUUCAGGGAUAAAUAAUAGAGAGAAAGUGUUUUAAAUUGAAUUGAUCAAUACAUUAUAAAUACCUGAAAUACUUAUGUACACAUUAUUCAAAGAAAUAAAUUAAAAACAAAUCUAUGUUGUGAAGUUCACAUCUGAAAAUAUGUCAGUUGUAUAAAAAACAUUUUGCCGUUUUUGCUCACGCACGUCAGCGCGUGCGUCAGUCAAUGUCAUGGUAACAACAAACGCUUGGCCCGACCGAGUCUAUAUAAGGCGCGCAGUCACGGGGGUUCCCCUUUUGCAGUCGGACACUGACGUUUAGAGACGCAAGCAACGACAGAUGGGUAGUGAAUUCCGUGUAAAUUUUAAUAUUUAUCACUUAAAUGACCAAAAUUGUUUGGAAUAAAUAAAGAAUAUAUGUACGAUACAUCUAUUGUAUGUGUAUUUAUGUGUUUAUUGACAACGUAACUUGUCAUUUUGGUCAAAGUUUAAAAAUAUUCAUAUUUUUAAAAUGGCGACCGCACCGACUGUAAACUGCCGCAGCGCUCCAGGCCUUUUCGGUAGCUGCAACCUUAAAUAUUAUCGCCUAAGGUUAUUUAUUUUAGUUCAAUCUAAAUCUACCGUAUAGACACAUGGCCAUUGUUGGACUUCGCUAACGGAUCAUUCUGUUGCCAUUAAAGUCUCGGGAGUGGAGCAGUGGUUAGCGCCGCAAGCUAAGUAGCGCCCCUGCCAGGAUGCUAUCUGUUUCCGCUCACGCACGUCAGCGCGUGCGUCAGUCAAUGUCAUGGUAACAACAAACGCUUGGCCCGACCGAGUCUAUAUAAGGCGCGCAGUCACGGGGGUUCCCCUUUUGCAGUUGGACACUGACUUUUAGAGACGCAAGCAACGACAGAUGAGUAGUGAAUUCCGUGUAAAUUUUAAUAUUUAUCACUUAAAUGGCCCAAGUUGUUUGGAAUGAAUAAAGGAUAUAUGUACGAUACAUCUAUUGUAUGUGUAUUUAUGUGUUUAUUGACAACGUAACUUGUCAUUUUGGUCAAAGUUUAAAAAUAUUCAUAUUUUUAAAAUGGCGACUGCACCGACUGUAAACUCCCGCAGCGCUGCAGCCUGUUUCCGCUCACGCACGUCAGCGCGUGCGUCAGUCAAUGUCAUGGUAACAACAAACGCUUGGCCCGACCGAGUCUAUAUAAGGCGCGCAGUCACGGGGGUUCCCUUUUUGCAGUUGGACACUGACGUUUAGAGACGCAAGCAACGACAGAUGGGUAGUGAAUUCCGUGUAAAUUUUAAUAUUUAUCACUUAAAUGACCAAAAUUGUUUGGAAUGAAUAAAGGAUAUAUGUACGAUACAUCUAUUGUAUGUGUAUUUAUGUGUUUAUUGACAACGUAACUUGUCAUUUUGGUCAAAGUUUAAAAAUAUUCAUAUUUUUAAAAUGGCGACCGCACCGACUGUAAACUGCCACAGCGCUCCAGGCCUUUUCGGUAGCUGCAGCCUUAAAUAUUAUCGCCUAAGGUUAUUUAUUUUAGUUCAAUCUACCGUAUAGACACGUUGUUGGACUUUGCUAACGGAUCAUUUUGUUGCCAGUUUAGUAAUUAAAUCUGUGCAAGUGUGAUCUGGAAAUGCAGGCACGAUAUUACAGUUUUUCUCAGUCGCUUUAGUACAAUUCUCAGACCAGAAUUGAAGUUUGCAAAUAUGUGUGUGCAUUUCUCAAAACAAUUUGUACAAAACAGCAAAACACUGGAUUUCUUGCAAAAGCCUGUAACUUGCUCAAAAUCUUUAGUUCAUCCCUUCAUCGCAUUGCCAUCAGAAUGUCAAGUCCUUGUGUCAUUCAGAUCACCUGCCAAAGUGUGUGAUAGUUUGGGACAAUGUGAGUUUUCAUCACUCCAACAUCAUUAGGCGUCAGGAUGGAAAGUUGUAACACAGAUGACUGGACAGAUCUGGAUUUUUGUUCAAAGACAUCAUAAUCAUACUAUCAUGCUUUUCAGGGCCUAAUUAUUGUAUAUUUUGGGGUCUAUACGAUCUACGAUAUCGUAGAGCCAAUACACGAUAGAGUCCAUUAUGUUUUGAUGCUGUUUAGAUUGUGCGCACGUCACCAGAAACUGUUGUCACGCCUACCUGGUUGGCUCCUCUUCUCUGUCAAUCACAUUAUGAGCGCUGCUGAUUGGUUCAGUUACCUGCUCAGGUUUAUAUGCACACUUGUACCGUUUGUCCAGUAUUGCGAUAAGGGCGAAAAUAAGGAAGUGUGUUCAGAACCGAAGCAAAUUACUGGAUGAAAAGAGUCUGGGGAGCUGUGCAGUGCAGACACAGAAACCUACAUCUACAUGCAGGCCAAUAAGACGAGAAGAUAAAAGUCCAAGCUGGCUUCAGUAGUUUCGUACGGCCAGGGAGAGAGGCUGCAAUGAAAAGCGUUACACUAACGGGUUCACUGAAGAAAUGGAACUGAUGGUCACACAGAUUUAUGAAGGCAGACAUCCAAACCUAGAUUGGACCUCCAGGAGAGACGAGUGUGGCUCGUGCACAUUUAUGGACUUAAAGGUGCCCCAACCAACCUUCUUAUCAAGCCUCUCUUCCACCGCUACCACCUCUUAGCAAGCCUCUGGUGGGACGGGUUCAUCCUCUGCGCUGAGACUUAAUUAUGAUAUGCCACAGCAACGUCAGCCCCAAGUAUUGGCUGAGGUGGAGUCAACUUUAGCAGCAGUGAUGCAGCAUCAUAAUGCACAAUCUAACCUAAGCCAUGCAGAUGUUGGAUUAUUUGUUGCACAUGCAGCCCAGCUCCAGUCAUUCUGUGAAGAUGUCAUGUUCAUUAACUCUGAUCACUGAAAUCACACUUCUGCUGUGGACCCGUUUUUGUGGGGAGUACCAAGAUCAUAAGGCGCAUAAACCAACCUCUUGUUAAGCCAACACCUCCGUCUCCUGCAGAGGAGCUCCGCAAUGGGGAAAUCUACAGGUCAGCAGGAAAGCAAAAGGUCAGUCCCAGCCAUCAUGUUGUGAAGACUUACUUUGGAACAUUCAAGAUGCUGCGUGUGUCCUUUCUCUUCUUCCAGAGACUGCGCCCUACAGAACCUUGCAGCGCAGAUGAAGGCACUCCCUAAAGUUGUGGGCUGUGAGCUGUGUGGUGGAAAUUUUGCAAUAAAGGCAGAUGAGAGAGA